RNAcentral lists this transfer RNA (109 nucleotides) under Microcaldota archaeon. RNAcentral describes it as "tRNA-Phe". It matches the Rfam family "tRNA". Rfam says of the family: Transfer RNA (tRNA) molecules are approximately 80 nucleotides in length. Their secondary structure includes four short double-helical elements and three loops (D, anti-codon, and T loops). The record is from RNAcentral. Lineage: Archaea; Nanobdellati; Microcaldota.
GCCGCAGUAGCUCAGCCUGACUUCUCAAAACCCUGGGGUUUUGCGAGGGGCCAGGGAGAGCGUUCGCCUGAAGAGCGAUAUGCCAAGAGUUCAAAUCUCUUCUGCGGCA